RNAcentral lists this transfer RNA (83 nucleotides) under Canis lupus familiaris (dog). It matches the Rfam family "tRNA". Rfam says of the family: Transfer RNA (tRNA) molecules are approximately 80 nucleotides in length. Their secondary structure includes four short double-helical elements and three loops (D, anti-codon, and T loops). Lineage: Eukaryota; Metazoa; Chordata; Mammalia; Carnivora; Canidae. RNAcentral also lists the same sequence under 1 other name. The record is from Rfam by way of RNAcentral.
GCCUGGGUGGCUCAGUGGUUGAGCGUCUGCCUUCGACUCAGGGCAUGAUCCUGGAGUCGUGGGAUCAAGUCCCGCAUCAGGCU